Molecule: long non-coding RNA, 582 nt
Filed under: Salmo salar (Atlantic salmon)
Lineage: Eukaryota; Metazoa; Chordata; Actinopteri; Salmoniformes; Salmonidae
Description: lncRNA (ENSSSAG00000096668.1)
Source: RNAcentral
GCCCAGCGUCGUCCGGGUUUUGGCCAUCAUUGUAAAUAAGAAUUUGUUCUUAACUGACUUGCCUAGUUAAAUAAAAAAAAUGAUGCCCAGUACGCUUUCUUUUUCCAGUAACAGGUACCAGACAGUAGUUAACAGUAACAGGUACCAGACAGUAGCUAACAGUAACAGGUACCAGACAGUAGCAGGUACCAGACAGUAGCUAACGGUAACAGGUACCAGACAGUACCAGACAGUAGCUAACGGUAACAGGUACCAGACAGUAGCUAACAAUAACAUGUACCAGACAGUAGCUAACAAUAACAUGUACCAGACAGUAGCAGGUACCAGACAGUAGCUUACAGUAACAGGUACCAGACAGUAGCUUACAGUAACAGGUACCAGACAGUAGCUAACAGUAACAGGUACCAGACAGUAGCAGGUACCAGACAGUAGCUUACAGUAGCAGGUACCAGACAGUAGCUAACAGUAACAGGUACCAGACAGUAGCUAACGGUAACAGGUACCAGACAGUAGCUAACGGUAACAGGUACCAGACAGUAGCUAACGGUAACAGGUACCAGACAGUAGCUAACGGUAACAGGU